Molecule: unclassified non-coding RNA, 200 nt
Filed under: Devriesia sp.
Lineage: Eukaryota; Fungi; Ascomycota; Dothideomycetes; Mycosphaerellales; Teratosphaeriaceae
Description: partial internal transcribed spacer 2
Source: RNAcentral
UUAAGUUCAGCGGGUAUCCCUACCCGAUCCGAGGUCAACCUGUAGUGAGGUUUAACGGCGCGUCCGGUCGUCGUCGCCAGCGAAUUGAUUGACCACAACGCUGAGAUUCGAACCGUCCAGCCGACGAAUUGGGGGCGCGGGGGAGGGUCCCCGACGCCCAAUACCAAGCCAGGCUUGAUUGGUGUAAUGACGCUCGAACG